AAUAGAUACCCAGGUAGUCCACGCCGUAAACGAUGGAUGCUAGCCGUCGGGGAGCUUGCUCUUCGGUGGCGCAGCUAACGCAUUAAGCAUCCCGCCUGGGGAGUACGGUCGCAAGAUUAAAACUCAAAGGAAUUGACGGGGGCCCGCACAAGCAGUGGAGCAUGUGGUUUAAUUCGAAGCAACGCGCAGAACCUUACCAGCUCUUGACAUGUCUCGUAUGGGUACCGGAGACGGUAUCCUUCAGUUCGGCUGGCGAGAACACAGGUGCUGCAUGGCUGUCGUCAGCUCGUGUUGUGAGAUGUUGGGUUAAGUCCCGCAACGAGCGCAACCCUCGCCUCUAGUUGCCAUCAUUCAGUUGGGCACUCUAGAGGGACUGCCGGUGAUAAGCCGAGAGGAAGGUGGGAUGACGUCAAGUCCUCAUGGCCCUUACGGGCUGGGCUACACACGUGCUACAAUGGCGGUGACAAUGGGCAGCGAAGGGGCGACCCGGAGCUAAUCUCAAAAAGCCGUCUCGU
Molecule: ribosomal RNA, 515 nt
Filed under: uncultured bacterium
Lineage: Bacteria
Description: bacterial SSU rRNA
Rfam family: Bacterial small subunit ribosomal RNA
Source: RNAcentral